AUGACCAGGGCACAUGCAGCUCCUGGCCGUGCAGCAGUCUCCCUACACAGGAAGGGGCCGAGUCCACCUCACAUGGCACCAGCGGGGCCAACUGUGUGCCCAGCCCCACAGAGCUGUCACCCCUGCUCCCAGCACACAAACAGGAUCAGAGAAACAUCAAGGAGGAUCCAAUUCAACUCCGUUGCUUUAUUGCAAUGCAGAGGAGCACACCUGAGCCAAAACAUGGGACUCGAUCCCUGGACCAGCCCUGAGGUCUGGAUGGACAACUGGGAAGGAAGGACGCCCCUCCCCUGUCACCUGGCCCUGGAACCACAACAUUCCUGCCAACGUCCCCGCAGCUGUCAGGAAACUCUUCAGGGAAGAGCAGGUCCUUCCCUCUUCUUGGGUUCAGCAGGGUGAAGGUCUGAACUGCAGCCGGGACAGGGCCGAGCCUGAGGGACACUCCAAACAGGAAGUGGGAGACAGCAGCACCCAGAUGGUGGGGAAGCAAGGGAGAAGAGGAGCCAUCUGAUGCUGCUCUGCCAGCAGGUCUGGAGCUGCUCAUUCCACGUACUGCUGCCGGCCCAGGUAGGGCAUUUCCAUGAACUGGAUCACUGGGCCCUGCAUCAUCUCCUCGAAGACAAUGACCUGGGGGGAGACGGCUGGUCCAUCUUAGAGCCACAUCAGGGCCCUAAGGGAAGGGGCUGGCCAGGACUUCUGUCCCUCCUGCUCACCAACAGCCCCCCCAGGGAAACUCUGUGACCCAGGGAGGGCAGGGACAAGAAGGGGUCUCAGGAAAAGUACUCCUACCUGGUUGAUGCCUUCGUUCAACCAGACCCCUGGGAGGUAGAGGGUCUCCUGGGGCCCAAUAUUCCAGUAGCGUCCAAGGUUAUAGCCGUUGACAAACACAACCCCCUUCUCCCAGCCCUUUAAACAAAGUAGGGGAGGGGUUAGCAGACAAUGCGAACCACCCCACGGGAGGCAGAGACACAGACACAAGCUGUGAGCUCUUCUCUCAGCUCCUAAGGGACCAACACAGACUCUUUCCGACAGCCAUGCAGUUAUCAACCUGGUGGGGAGUUCGAGCGCCUGUGCCCACCAGCGCUGAAAGCAGCCCUCACAGGACCUAGAAGCCAGGACCUGAGAAGCCCCCAGGUGGUCCCUCUGUUCCGAGCCCACUCCUCCCACCCAGGAAGGAAAAGACGGAGACCUUGUGGGCACAGGUGGCGUGGGCACUCCGGGAGCCUGAGCUCCAGGCAGGGGACCAAGGAGAGGAGCCCAGAAAACCUGGGCGGGCGGGGCUACAGACCUCUAACUUCACAAAGGUGUCAUAGGGGAAGCUGGUGACCGACAAAGCCCCCAAGAAGAAGGCAGGCAACGUAGGCACCCCAGGCACAGGGUCCCACUUCUCCGCAGUGAA
RNAcentral lists this long non-coding RNA (1399 nucleotides) under Sus scrofa (pig). RNAcentral's name for it is "lncRNA (ENSSSCG00050049510.1)". Lineage: Eukaryota; Metazoa; Chordata; Mammalia; Artiodactyla; Suidae. The record is from RNAcentral.